UGGUGGGUUGCCUUGUCAGGUUGAUUCCGGUAACGAACGAGACCUCAGCCUGCUAAAUAGUCACGGCCUCCUCGGGGCCGGCAGACUUCUUAGAGGGACUAUUGGCGACUAGCCAAUGGAAGCAUGAGGCAAUAACA
Molecule: ribosomal RNA, 137 nt
Filed under: uncultured eukaryote
Lineage: Eukaryota
Description: partial 18S ribosomal RNA
Rfam family: Eukaryotic small subunit ribosomal RNA
Source: RNAcentral